RNAcentral lists this ribosomal RNA (644 nucleotides) under Mycetophyllia lamarckiana. Its description in RNAcentral is "eukaryotic LSU rRNA". The stretch from base 1 to 281 matches the Rfam family "Eukaryotic large subunit ribosomal RNA", at positions 65 to 358 of the family's 3401-position model. The record is from RNAcentral. Lineage: Eukaryota; Metazoa; Cnidaria; Anthozoa; Scleractinia; Faviidae.
CUAACAAGGAUUCCCUCAGUAACGGCGAGUGAAGCGNGAAGAGCUCAAAUUUGAAAUCUCCGAUGCCUGCAUCGGCGAGUUGUAGUUGCGAGAAGCACUUUCUAGGCGGAUCGGUGGUGCCUAAGUUGCUUGGAACAGCACGUCGCAGAGGGUGACAACCCCGUCUGUGGCGCCGGCGGCCGCCGACGAUGUGCUUUCGAAGAGUCGGGUUGUUUGGGAAUGCAGCCCAAAACGGGUGGUAAACUCCAUCUAAAGCUAAAUACUGGCGUGAGACCGAUAGCGAAGGAAACGAAUGGACUCAGCAAUGCGCCCUUUGAGAUUCAGCCGGCGGGCGGUCUUGGCCCCGGGUUUGCGGAUCUGAAUGGACCGCGGCCCUCGGCUCUCGAUCUCCCCCGCCGUCGCACUUCUCUGGGACGCGCGUCAACGUCGGUUGGGACUGGGUCUGAAAGGUGCCGGGAAGGUAGGAGCGGGCCUCCGGGCCGGCUCUGUUACAGCCCGGCUCUCCUUCAUGGCUCGGGCCCGACCGAGGCGGUUGCAGGGCAUGCCUCUUGUGGCUAGGGUGCCGCCCUUCCGGCCGGCUGUUCCAAUGCGGUGGACUGCUUGCAGUGCUCGGCGACGGCUGCCGGUCGUUGGGGUGGUGAUCU